GACGUAGGGGACGGGCGUUGUCCGGAUUCAUUGGGCGUAAAGCGCGCGUAGGCGGCCACGCAAGUCGGGUGUGAAAUCCCGGAGCUCCACUCCGGAACUGCACUCGAAACUGCGCGGCUUGAGGUAGGUAGGGGAGAUCGGAAUUCCUGGUGUAGCGGUGGAAUGCGCAGAUAUCAGGAGGAACACCGGUGGCGAAGGCGGAUCUCUGGGCCUUACCUGACGCUGAGACGCGAAAGCUAGGGGAGCGAACAGG
RNAcentral lists this ribosomal RNA (253 nucleotides) under uncultured bacterium. RNAcentral describes it as "partial 16S ribosomal RNA". It matches the Rfam family "Bacterial small subunit ribosomal RNA", at positions 524 to 776 of the family's 1533-position model. The record is from RNAcentral.